RNAcentral lists this long non-coding RNA (4494 nucleotides) under Equus caballus (horse). Its description in RNAcentral is "lncRNA (ENSECAG00000052231.1)". The record is from RNAcentral. Lineage: Eukaryota; Metazoa; Chordata; Mammalia; Perissodactyla; Equidae.
GUUCUCUUUGGGCUCUCGCCUAUGCCCUUCCUGUCUAACGGUGGUGGGGCAUUCCACUCCCCCUCAGUGCAGCUCUUCUUCCUGCCAAGUGACAGGUAACAUAUUAUCUCGUUCCCAUGCUCUUUCCUGUAAACACACGUAAUCUUUACUGUAACUACAUUUUCAAACUGUAUGGGGUGCAGCCUGCAUGUUACAAUUUUUAUAUCUUCUGUUUCUUUGCUGAGACUUUGUGUUUUUCUCAUUUGUUUCAAGCAUAUUUGUAAUUGCUUGUUGAAGUAUUUUUAUGAAGGCUGCUUUAAAAUCCUUGUCGGAUGAUUCUAAUUUAUCUGUCAUCUUGGUGUUGACAUCGGUUGAUUGUCUUUUCUCAUUCAUGUGGAGACUUUCCUGGUUCCUGGAAUGAUGACUGGGUUUUGAUUGAAACCUGGAAGUUUUGGGUAUUAUGAGAUUCUGGAUCUUAAUUAAAUUUUCUGUUUUAGGAAGACUCCUCUGCCAGUGCGCUGGUUGGGGAAGGAGAGUGCUACCUCGUGACUGUUGGGUGGUGGGUGGAAGUCCAGGUUAUUUACGGCCUCAGCUGAUACCCCUCUGGGAUGCGGCAGGAGUGCCUCAUUACUAUUCCUCCGUAGCUUCCACUGAUGCUCUGACUUAUCAUUGCUGGGUGAUGGUGAAAGUUCCAGCUUGGCACUAGGCCUCCUCUUGACACCCCAGCAAGGAGGGGAGGAGGCCUUUUCCUCUCCCAGGUUGGGUGGACAUCCCAGUGUCCUGGCUUCCCAUUCAGCCUUCUGUGACACCACCUGGAUGAAGGUAAGGUUGGAACAUCUCUUUUCAACCGGCUGAGAGCAGAAGUCUAGUUUCCUGACUUGGCCAAUAGGGGUGAGGUUUGGGGGCAUGGCUUUUUUCUGCGAUGUUUGGCUGGAGUAGAGCUGUUAUGGUCUAAAAGUUUUCUGUCGUGUGAGGCUGCCUCUUUCUUAGUCCUUUGGCUAGAGAAGGCAGGCUUUCCUUGGACAUUUUUUUGUCUGUGUCUCUUGGUGUUUCUGGGUCUCUGGCUUCUCCAGAAACCAGUCUGGGAUCUGUGAGAAAAAAAGAAAACCUAGGGAACACAGCUCCAUGUCGUUCCUGGCUGGUCUGCCUUCUUCUCUCCGUCUUUCUGAGUCUUCUUAUGCUUGUUUUCUGGAUAAUGCCUGGAGUUUUUUUGUUAGGAGGAACAGGGAAAAGUAUGUCUACUCUGUCUUUCUGGAAAUGGGAGUUCCCUGGAGAUUGGGAGUUUUAAAAGCUCCCCAGGUGAUUCAAAUCAAAUCAAGGUGCAGAAUAUGAGAAUCUCAGGGUUGGAGCACUGGAGCAGGCAAAGGUGGUUCUGGUGGAAGGACCAAGAGGACCUGGAAUCUUCCCCAAGUGGUGGUCUUUAUGAAAGAUUAUGUACGCCUUCAUAAAUUCUUAUCACUUAGUCACUUUCCUUCCAUAGACUUAGAUUUUUUUUUCUGUAUGUCCCUGAGUCUGACUUGUGUUCCCUGAGUAUACAUUCUUAAAUGCAGGUGUAAAAAUAGUCUAAUUGUAGAGGAAGUAUUUAGUGUGCUCCUACUGUGUUUAGGGCACGGUGCUUGGUGUUAAAGUUCAGAGAGAGAUGAGACAAGAUGGUGACUUGAAGGAGAUCACUGUAGCUGGGAGAUACUGAUAUGUGGAAAGAUAAAUACAAUGAUAGUAUUAUGUAUUGAGCACACGUGUGCUGGGUAUUCUCCUAGGUGUUUUAUAAAUUUUCAUUUAAUUCUUCCAACUACGCUGCAUGAUAGAUGUUAUUUUCUCCCUUUCAUCAUUGUGAUUUCAAAGGCUCAGUAUUAAGUGCCUUGUCCAAGGUCACUCCAUAUCCAAUUCAGGACAAAAUUGGACCUCGACUUCGGCGCUGGAAUGAGGCCUUGCUUUUUCCACCUGGACGUGUCCCACUAAGCUUUCUUCAUGAGUGUGUCAUGGGGGUGCUGCUGAGCUCAUCCAUUUAUAUUUCUCCCUGGACCCAGGACAAUUUUGGAGGCAGCUGUUAUUAGUGGCUUAGUCUGUGACUUUGGAAUGGACCUUGUAGGGACUUGAAAUGAUUCUUGAGACUUAAAAAUAUCACUGUAGUAAUUCUGUGGAGAGUGGGGUGGGGGGCAAUAAUAGACCUGGAGAGACUGUUCGGGAAGCUCAUCCUGUACUUCAGGCAAGGGAGGUUAGUCGCUGGAAUUAGGGCCCGUCUUCCACUCUGGAAGUUGCAAGAGGUAUAAGGCAUCUUUUAGUUUGGAAUGAGCACAUGUGUAAGUAAAGAAGGGAAGUGAGGUAAGCGAAAUGGAGGAAAAGUGUGGUCUUGUGAUGUGAGUGGGGGAGAGGAGGGUUUAUAUGUAGGCUUUUAGUAUUUUUUUUUAAGGGGGAAGGAGAUAAGAGAACUAUAGAUAAUGAAGAAAUGACAGAGAGGUAGGACGACCCGUACCCCAGGAGGCUUUAAAUACCAGGCUCAAGAGACAUGGCUUCAUCUUGCCAAUAGUGGGGAACAAAAAUGCGUGUUCCUAGGGGAUGAUAUAAAUAUAUAUAUUUACAUAAUGUAUAUAUGUGUCUACUCACACACACACAGAGUCGUGUAUUAGGAAGAGGAAAUGGAUAAGAGCUGCUGUAAAAAUAGAAAAGAGCGCUGAGGACUAGUGCUGAAGUCCAGGUGUGAGGACCUGAACCAGGACGACGAUGGCGGGUGUGGAAAUGAAGGGAUGGAUGUAAGAGAAAUUACAAAGACUCGAUACAGCAAUCUGUCUUGUGUUCUUAGGGCCAGGCUGCAUUUGGGAAGGAGAAUCAGAAAUUGAAAGCAUCAGAAUGAAAUAGCCUUUACUUCCAAGGAGCUUGUGUCUUAGUGAGUCAUCGCAUCUCAUGUGACAAAGCUUUAAACACCGCCUGUUCGACGGACACUCUAACAUGUCAACUGCCUGAGCUUGAAAGCUAGUUUAACUUGCCUCAUCUCUGUGUCUGGUCCUAAGCUGUUCAUCAUGGGUUGGGCCCUUAGCUACACUAUGUCCUAAGUCCUAUGUGAAAUUUUGCCUUUUUAGAGCAGCCCUGAUACCUUAUACUAACUCAGAGUUUAGGAAGCAUAUUAUUAGGCUGUCGAUUUUUGGCAGUUUUAAGGUCUGUUUGUCUAAAAUGAUGAGAAUGAAACUGUGUCCAUAUGAGCCCCUCUGUGAAAUGAGAAAAGGGCUGAGUGGGAUGCUGGUAAAGGUUAUGAAAACAUAGACCCUAGAUAAUUGGCAGUCUCAGCAAGCUAGGAUUAGGAGGUCCCUUUCUCCCUCCCAACCUCUUCUUGGAAAUGGAAGUUGCUGAAAUAUGAAAACUUGAGGCAGGGAUUCUAUCAGUGGUGACAAAUCCAUAAUGGGUUUCCGAGGCUAAUUAGAUUGUUUGGGAUAUUAGCAACUUCCUUCGUGUCCUUAGGCUUUCUGUCAAUGCUUACUGCCUAUAUUGUGAUCACUUCUGUCUUCUACAACCCACCCCCAACCCCAGGUGGUACCCUCUGGCUUUUGAGAUCCUGAAACAACACCGCGUCUGAUUGACUUUUGAAUUUCCAGGACAUAGCAUAGUGCCUGACACAUUAUAGGUGCGCCGUUGACCUUGAAUGAAUAAGUGAAUGAAGGAAGUUGAUGUCACUGAGUAUACACUGCUUCUCUACUCAUUACAUUUACCUGGGGGCCUUUGCUAGGAGUGGGAUCCCUUUUCUGCUUCUCUUGCCCAGCCCAAUUGUCAUCCAAGUCGUGUUGGUUGUAUUUCACAAAACUGUUUUGUGGAGAGAAUGUGAUGUUUAAUGACUUUGCCCUCCUAGCCAUUCCCUUGGCAAGAUGAUCAAGAUUUUUAUAGUGUGGGUCUCAUUUUUCUUCUACUGAAGGUGAGCUAGCCUGUGGCCUGAAGCUGGCUUUGUAGUUGUGCGAUUCACCUAUGGUGAAUAUGUCAACGUCAUACUCAUUUGAUGAGGCUUAGCUCAUCAAAUACUAGUUUCUGCCCCUGUCUUCCAACUUUCUCGGGGUUCUUCUUCCUUCAAUUGCUGUAGCAUCAUUUGGUUUGUAAUCUUAGCAUUAACUGUGUACUUGUUUUAGCAUAGGCCCCAUAACAGGUGGUUGAACUGUCUUUUUUGCAGUGCUGGCAGAGGGCCUAGCCAUAGUAGCUGCUCAGUAAGCACGUGUGGGGUUCAUGGAAUUCAGCAAGGGUUUGGUUUGUGAGGGUGAGGCUGACAUUCUCAGUGUCCUGUGAAUGUCAGGUGCCUCAUGACAGUGAUGCCUUUUAGUGAUUCCUUAUUUCCUCUUUCCAGCAGUAGCUUGCAGUUGUUUUUCAUUAAAAAUAUGUCUGAAGCACACACUUGAGGCUGCUGACUCACCUCUUCUACAGGAGAAGCCUUGAUGCAUUGGAUCUGCCAUGUGGGAGAUGCAGUCACUCCUCUCACCUCCCCACGGCAGUGUACUCUUUUCUUCAUGAUGGUCUGUUUACUCAUCACUCAGCAGGGAG